AAAUGUUACUCAUCGCAUCAGAUGGAUGCCUCGACUCCAAAGUCCGAUGAAGGACGUGGCCAGCUGCGAUAUGUCUCGGUGAGCCGCUAGGCAGGCGCUACCAGCCGAGAAUUUCCGAAUGGGGCAACCCAUACGAGGUUAUGCUCGUAUACUCCGUAAUUUAUUACGGGGUGGUCACUCUGUGAACUGAAACAUCUCAGUAACAGAGGAAUAGAAAUCAAAAGAGAUUCCCUUAGUAGUGGCGAGCGAACAGGGAACAGUCCAAACCCCACUAUUUUAUGGUGGGGGGUUGUAGGACUCCAAUAUGUGAUUAGAUCAUGUUAGGCAAACGACCCUGGAACGGGCGGCCAAAGAGGGUGAGAGCCCCGUCGCCGAAAAUAUGAUCUACACUAGGAGAUUCCUGAGUAAGGUCGGACACGUGAAAUCCGGCCCGAAUCUGGGAGGACCACCUUCCAAGACUAAAUAGCUUUGGAGAUCAAUAGCGGAUAGUACCGUGAGGGAACGGUGAAAAGCACCCCGGAAGGGGGAUGAAAUAGUCUCUGAAAUCUGAUGCGUUCAAAGAAUGGGAGCCGCUUUAUGCGGUGACCGUGUGCCUUUUGCAUAAUGAGCCAACGAGUUGCUCGUCUGUGGUCGGCUAAGGGAGUCAAAACCCGGAGCCAGAGCGAAAGCGAGUCCGAAUAGGGCGUUUAAUCGCAGGCGGCAGACCCGAAACCGGGUGAGCUACCUAUGGGCAGGAUGAAGGUUAGCGGAAGCUAACUGGAGGUCCGCACCCACGCAUGUCACAAGAUGCGGGGAUGACCUGUGGGUAGGGGUGAAAAGCCAACCGAACCCGGAGAUAGCUGGUUCUCCUCGAAAUGCCUUUAGGGGCAGCCUCUUUGUAUACGAUUGGGGGUAGAGCUACUGUUUGGAUGAGGGGGUCUUCCCGACCUACCAAUUCCUGAUAAACUCCGAAUACCAAUCUUUUCAGCAAAGGGAGUGAGACGGUGACGGCGAAUCGCCAUCGUCAAAAGGGAAACAACCCAGAUCAUUUGCUAAGGUCCCUAAAUUUUACUCAGUGGAAAAGGUGGUGCGAUUGCUCCGACAACCAGGAGGUUGGCUUAGAAGCAGCCAUCCUUUAAAGAAAGCGUAACAGCUCACUGGUCGAGGAGUCGUGCGCCGAAAAUUUAACGGGGCAAAGUAAAAUACCGAAGCAGUGGAUAUAUUUAUAUAUGGUAGAGGAGCGUUCCGUUCAGCAGUGAAGCAGUGUCGCGAGGCAUUGUGGAGCGUACGGAAGUGAGAAUGUUGGCAUGAGUAACUACUAGGCAGGUGAAAACCCUGCCCACCGAAUCCCCAAGGUUUCCCACGCAACGGCAAUCGGCGUGGGGUUAGUCGGUCCUAAGGCCAGGCUGAAAAGCGUAACCGAUGGAUAACAGGUCAAUAUUCCUGUACUUCAUGAAGAUCGCCCAAGGAUGUUAGUUGAUAGUCUUACAAGCCUCUGUUCUCACCACUCUGGAUUUGAGUGGGACUAGGGAUUAGUAGAUGGUAGAUAGGGACCCAUCCCUAACUACUAACUACCAGCCCCCAAUCCCUUGUUCGAAUCUAGUGUGGUGAGAUCAUGUUUAUAAGAAAGGAAACUUUCAUUCUAGGAGCGGUGGGACGGAGUGGGAAGACCAGAGCGUGUGUAUUGACUGCACGUGUAACACGUUAGGUGCUGAGAGUAGUAGGAAAAUCCGCUACUUGAGCCGAGCGUGGAUGCCAAUUGUUCCACUUUUGUGGGAUUAGUCUGAAUCCUUGCGCUUCCAAGAAAAGCAUCGCUUCCGAGAGUUUUACGAAACCGUACCGCAAACCAACACCGGUGGGGUGGUCGAGUAGACCAAGGUGAACGAGAGAACUCGCGUUAAGGAACUCGGCAAAAUAGCGUCCGUAACUUCGGGAUAAGGACUGACGGUGGUCGCAAGAUCAUCGCCCGCAGCAAAAGAGUACAGGCGACUGUUUACCAAAAACACAGGUCCCUGCUAAGUCGCAAGACGAUGUAUAGGGGCUGAUGCCUGCCCAGUGGCAGAAGGUCACGUGAGAGGGUGCAAGCCUUUGAUCUAAGCCCUGAUGAACGGCGGCCGUAACUAUAACGGUCCUAAGGUAGCGAAAUUCCUUGUCGGGUAAGUUCCGACCCGCACGAAUGGUAUAACGGUCUGUACACUGUCUCAAC
This 2185-nucleotide ribosomal RNA is filed under the name marine metagenome. Its description in RNAcentral is "bacterial LSU rRNA". It matches the Rfam family "Bacterial large subunit ribosomal RNA", at positions 1 to 2025 of the family's 2925-position model. The record is from RNAcentral.